UGAACGCUGGCGGCAUGCCUUACACAUGCAAGUCGAACGGUAGAGUAGCAAUACUUGAGAGUGGCGAACGGGUGAGUAAUAUAUCGGAGCGUGCCCAACUGUGGGGGAUAACGUAGAGAAAUUUACGCUAAUACCGCAUACGAUCUAAGGAUGAAAGCGGGGGAUCGCAAGACCUCGCGCAGUUGGAGCGGCUGAUAUCAGAUUAGCUUGUUGGUGAGGUAAAAGCUCACCAAGGCGACGAUCUGUAGCUGGUUUGAGAGAACGACCAGCCACACUGGGACUGAGACACGGCCCAGACUCCUACGGGAGGCAGCAGUGGGGAAUUUUGGACAAUGGGCGAAAGCCUGAUCCAGCAAUGCCGCGUGCAGGAAGAAGGCCUUCGGGUUGUAAACUGCUUUUGUACGGAACGAAACGGUCCGCUUUAAUACAGUGGGCUAAUGACGGUACCGUAAGAAUAAGCACCGGCUAACUACGUGCCAGCAGCCGCGGUAAUACGUAGGGUGCGAGCGUUAAUCGGAAUUACUGGGCGUAAAGCGUGCGCAGGCGGUUAUAUAAGACAGUUGUGAAAUCCCCGGGCUCAACCUGGGAAUUGCAUCUGUGACUGUAUAGCUAGAGUACGGUAGAGGGGGAUGGAAUUCCGCGUGUAGCAGUGA
This 653-nucleotide ribosomal RNA is filed under the name uncultured beta proteobacterium. RNAcentral's name for it is "bacterial SSU rRNA". It matches the Rfam family "Bacterial small subunit ribosomal RNA", at positions 30 to 684 of the family's 1533-position model. The record is from RNAcentral. Lineage: Bacteria; Pseudomonadati; Pseudomonadota; Betaproteobacteria.